CGCACACGCACACCCAUUCUCUUGUAAAGCCCUAGAGUUGAAGAUCAGUCAUCUCUCUUUCAAUCUCCAAACAAACAACACUUUCAGAGAAACUACUACUGCGACCACAAUAUGAAUCCGGUGGGAGAGGGUAGGAUAAGUAAACUGAUCCAUUACUUCAUCAUGUACUCUCUUUUCUUCCUACCAAAUGUGUUGUUACCACUAGCAUCUUGUCGAAAAGAUGGAAGGAUGUGUGAGUGUAUGUUCCGGUUCUUGAUUUUCAAAACUGGGAACCUCCUAGAAUCCUUUAUACUACGUAUGAAGAUUAUGAUAAAGAAGCCAUUGUCUUGGAGACGAAUAAGUUCAUGGAUUUUGUUGAUAGGAUAUUUGCACAGCGCAAUAUGUUAAAUGUAAACAAGUUUUGUCUUGAUUGUGGUUUUUUCGAUCAUAAGCGGGUAAAUGCGUGGAUCACUACGGCAAUCAAAUGUGGAGUUGAAGAAUUCAUUUUUUCUGGGUGUUUCUCAUACUUAAGCAAUGGCAAGUUGAUUUCCUGAUUCCCUUUUCACUUGUGAAACAUUAACCACGUUAGACUUUCAGAUUGAAGAACAAAAUAGGUUGAUCUUCCAGGAUCAAUUUCUCUUCCAAGAUUGAAGAUCCUCCAUCUUACGAAUUUCAUAUAUUAUGAUGAGAAAUUGGCAGCAAAACUCUUUUCUAGUGGCCCAGUACUUGAAGAAUUGCGGUUGACAGAUUGUGGUUUGCAUAAUUUUGAUUUCAUACGUGUUUCAGCUCCUGCAUUGAAGUCCUUGACUCUAAUCGGUUGUUUGAGAAGUAAUAUGGAAGGUGUCAAGCCUGUCAAGGUCAAGAUUGAUGCACCAAAUCUAAUGUCCUUCGCUUUCUGUGAUUGUCUACCUGAGGAUUUUUGUGUGGAUAACUUUCCAUUGGUAGAGAAUGCAGAUUUAUACUACCAGCAUAGCGACAUAGAGAGCAGAUUCCUUCCUUUGUCUAAGUUUAUAAUGAAGCUCUGCACUGUAAAGGUCUUGAGUAUAUUCAGGUGCUUACUUUAAGGUUCUCAAGCUCGCAAAGGCUCUGUCUACUAGUUUCCCUACUUUCCAUAAUUUGAUCCGUCUGGAAGUAUAUGUCAUUCGUUAUCUGCAAAUGAAAACAUUACUCAACUUUCUAGAGUUCUCGCCGAAUUUGGAAGCACUCAUCAUCAAUAAGGUUAAAUUUAGUGGCAAAGUGAGUGAGAACGCUUUAACAUUUGGAAAAGUGCCUCGUUGCUUGGAAUGCCUCAAGUCAUUCGAGAUUCAGCAGUUCAAUGGGUGCUGGAGAUGGUUAAAUUUGUUCUGGAGCAUGCAAGAAUUCUUCAAACCGUCAUCAUGGAAACUUUAUAUAUCGUGGAAAGAUGAUUAUAUGGAUCCACGCAAGAAUAAGAAAAAUCUUGAUGCUACGGAGGUUGAAGCUUUGAAUAAGAAAAUUCUAAUGCAGUUAGAGAUGUCUCCAUGGGGUUCAACAGGUUGUGUCAUUAAGUUUUCAAGCUUCUAAAUCUUGUUUUUUUUUAACUCUCGUCAAAUCAUGGAGUAGUUUGCCAGUAUGACAUCUUCUUUCAGAAUUGUGAACAGCUAUUGCCUUUUACAUCAGUUGGAACGUCAGUUGGUAGCGGAUUUUUUCGAACUUUUUGAAGCUUGAAUGUGUUGAAUCCAAUGUUGUGAUAGACAAUCUUUUCUGAGUGAAUUAUCGGAAAUUUUUU
Papaver somniferum (opium poppy) is the source of this 1726-nucleotide long non-coding RNA. RefSeq lists it as uncharacterized. The record is from RefSeq and is a predicted model, not a curated record. NCBI's taxonomy places the organism in Eukaryota, Viridiplantae, Streptophyta, Magnoliopsida, Ranunculales, Papaveraceae. The transcript has 4 exons.